Molecule: long non-coding RNA, 1257 nt
Organism: Oreochromis niloticus (Nile tilapia)
Lineage: Eukaryota; Metazoa; Chordata; Actinopteri; Cichliformes; Cichlidae
Exons: 4
Source: RefSeq, a predicted model, not a curated record
GCAGAGUCAAACAGACGUUUGCACGUCUUCAUUGGAAAAUGAAAAAGCAGGUUCUUGUGAGUGAUUAGUUGCUUAACUGAGUGAACAGGCAUGCUACUGGGAGCUCUGUCAGACAGGAGAGUGACUAUUAGUGGAGUACCAGGAGGCAGGCGGAGACCUGGUAAGUCAUUCCACUUGCAAGUAGUAAAGAAGGAAAAACUGCCUGGAAGUGCUCACAGUCCACAGGAGUGUUUGACUUGGAGUUCAAAGGUUUCCUGGCAGCUAGAGGAGGAGCAGAAAAUACAGGUUACACAAGGUACAUUGGCCACACGUAUCCGUCGAAGUAGCCAGGAGGAUCAGGAGGUGUGUACACUCUUAAACUGUUGAAGACAGCACAGAAGUUGAAAAUGAGGAAGCCUUCCACUAUGAGCACGAACACCUCCUUAUCGACUGAUGGUGGUAUAAGCUGGCUCUCCAGGCCUUGCUGUCUGAAAAACGACUCGGGAUCUCUUCGCCAGGAGUCAACGUCCCUCAUCAUCAUCUGCAUGUGCAGAGCCUCGAGGACUUAAAUAGACCAGUGAGCAUGAUUUUCUUUCACAUUUAAAAUGAAAAAAAUUAAAUAACCGAAUGAAUAUUACAGUCAGCAAACUAUUGUUUGGAUACUUCUCCUUUAUUUUCUGCCAUCAUGGCAUUUUUAUAUCUUUCAGACUGUUGAUUGACAAAACUAGUGAUUGUUAAGGUGUCACCUUGAGUUCUGGAAAACAUUUUUACCAUUUCAUUUUAAUUUGAUUGCAAUGAAUGGAAAAAAAAAAAUCAGUACUACCCCACAUUACAAUACAUUACAAUACCCUGCAUUUCUUUUUAAAAAUGCUUAGAAAUGUUAUUGUAGUCAACCAACCACAUUUCUAUAUUUUAUAUACAUUUUUAUGUAAUUUUAAAACAUGUGAAGGGCUAAAAAUGAUGUAUUAAAGACUUCUUAAUGUCCUUACACUAUUUUUCCCAGUUAUUGACCUUAAUAGUGGUGCAUAUUAACACUUUCAGACUUUUAGCAAACUGGAGAAGUUUUUAAUUGGGAACUCGUAUAAAAAAAAUACCACAGGUCAUAUUUUCAGAUGGACAGAUGAACAACAUAUUCUCUUGUGAUCAUAAGUCUGGAUAUCAAAGAUGAACGUAGCCACCAAGUCUGAAAUGUGAAGCUGAAGGACAAAUGCCCUAAAACCUGCAACCUUUCUACUGACCAGUAGGGGGCGGUUUUUCUUGCUGCACAAAGAAGUCUAA